This 400-nucleotide ribosomal RNA is filed under the name uncultured bacterium. RNAcentral describes it as "bacterial SSU rRNA". It matches the Rfam family "Bacterial small subunit ribosomal RNA", at positions 355 to 753 of the family's 1533-position model. The record is from RNAcentral.
UAGGGAAUAUUGGGCAAUGGAGGGAACUCUGACCCAGCCAUGCCGCGUGCAGGAAGAAGGCGUUAUGCGUUGUAAACUGCUUUUUUAUAGGAAGAAGGAUCUCUUGCGAGAGAAGGUGACGGUACUAUAAGAAUAAGCACCGGCUAACUCCGUGCCAGCAGCCGCGGUAAUACGGAGGGUGCAAGCGUUGUCCGGAUUUAUUGGGUUUAAAGGGUGCGUAGGCGGUUUAUUAAGUCAGUGGUGAAAGACGGUCGCUCAACGAUUGCAGUGCCAUUGAUACUGGUAGACUUGAGUGUGAUUGAGGUAGCUGGAAUGGAUAGUGUAGCGGUGAAAUGCAUAGAUAUUAUCCAGAACACCGAUUGCGAAGGCAGGUUACUAAGUCAUAACUGACGCUGAGGCA